GACGAACGCUGGCGGCGUGCUUAACACAUGCAAGUCGAACGGAAAGGCCCUGCUUUUGUGGGGUGCUCGAGUGGCGAACGGGUGAGUAACACGUGAGUAACCUGCCCUUGACUUUGGGAUAACUUCAGGAAACUGGGGCUAAUACCGGAUAGGAGCUCCUGCUGCAUGGUGGGGGUUGGAAAGUUUCGGCGGUUGGGGAUGGACUCGCGGCUUAUCAGCUUGUUGGUGGGGUAGUGGCUUACCAAGGCUUUGACGGGUAGCCGGCCUGAGAGGGUGACCGGCCACAUGGGGCCGCAGACACGCCCCCGACUCCGCCGGGGGGAACCGGGGGGGAUUAUUGCCCAGGGGGCGGAGGCCGGAGGCGCCACCCCCGGGGGGGGAAUGCCGCCUUUCGGGUUGAAACCCUCUUGCCCCGGUGACGACGGGGGAGGGCGGGAAGUGGGAAAAGAACCCCCGCCAACCUCCGU
RNAcentral lists this ribosomal RNA (467 nucleotides) under uncultured bacterium. RNAcentral describes it as "partial 16S ribosomal RNA". It matches the Rfam family "Bacterial small subunit ribosomal RNA", at positions 28 to 506 of the family's 1533-position model. The record is from RNAcentral.